GAGUUUGAUCCUGGCUCAGAUUGAACGCUGGCGGCAGGCCUAACACAUGCAAGUCGAACGGUAACAUUUCUAGCUUGCUAGAAGAUGACGAGUGGCGGACGGGUGAGUAAUGCUUGGGAACUUGCCUUUGCGAGGGGGAUAACAGUUGGAAACGACUGCUAAUACCGCAUAAUGUCUUCGGACCAAACGGGGCUUCGGCUCCGGCGCAAAGAGAGGCCCAAGUGAGAUUAGCUAGUUGGUAAGGUAACGGCUUACCAAGGCGACGAUCUCUAGCUGUUCUGAGAGGAAGAUCAGCCACACUGGGACUGAGACACGGCCCAGACUCCUACGGGAGGCAGCAGUGGGGAAUAUUGCACAAUGGGGGAAACCCUGAUGCAGCCAUGCCGCGUGUGUGAAGAAGGCCUUCGGGUUGUAAAGCACUUUCAGUUGUGAGGAAAAGUUAGUAGUUAAUACCUGCUAGCCGUGACGUUAAUAACAGAAGAAGCACCGGCUAACUCCGUGCCAGCAGCCGCGGUAAUACGGAGGGUGCGAGCGUUAAUCGGAAUUACUGGGCGUAAAGCGCACGCAGGCGGUUUGUUAAGCUAGAUGUGAAAGCCCCGGGCUCAACCUGGGAUGGUCAUUUAGAACUGGCAGACUAGAGUCUUGGAGAGGGGAGUGGAAUUCCAGGUGUAGCGGUGAAAUGCGUAGAUAUCUGGAGGAACAUCAGUGGCGAAGGCGACUCCCUGGCCAAAGACUGACGCUCAUGUGCGAAAGUGUGGGUAGCGAACAGGAUUAGAUACCCUGGUAGUCCACACCGUAAACGCUGUCUACUAGCUGUGUGUGCCUUUAAGGCGUGCGUAGCGAAGCUAACGCGCUAAGUAGACCGCCUGGGGAGUACGGCCGCAAGGUUAAAACUCAAAUGAAUUGACGGGGGCCCGCACAAGCGGUGGAGCAUGUGGUUUAAUUCGAUGCAACGCGAAGAACCUUACCUACACUUGACAUGCAGAGAACUUUCUAGAGAUAGAUUGGUGCCUUCGGGAACUCUGACACAGGUGCUGCAUGGCUGUCGUCAGCUCGUGUCGUGAGAUGUUGGGU
This 1074-nucleotide ribosomal RNA is filed under the name uncultured Gammaproteobacteria bacterium. RNAcentral's name for it is "bacterial SSU rRNA". It matches the Rfam family "Bacterial small subunit ribosomal RNA", at positions 9 to 1080 of the family's 1533-position model. Lineage: Bacteria; Pseudomonadati; Pseudomonadota; Gammaproteobacteria. The record is from RNAcentral.